Long non-coding RNA from Electrophorus electricus (electric eel), 818 nucleotides. RefSeq lists it as uncharacterized. Lineage: Eukaryota; Metazoa; Chordata; Actinopteri; Gymnotiformes; Gymnotidae. The record is from RefSeq and is a predicted model, not a curated record.
GUGACAGAGAGAGACAGAGAGAGAAGUUGUCAGAGAAAGUGAGAGAGGUUGAAAGAAGUUCACAUGAGAGGAUAUCCUGGAGAGCUGUGGAGACCAGCAGAGAGAGGCACUAAAGACCAAGGGGGCGGCACACAUGAUCCAGAGUUCCAGGCUCAAGUCUCCAUUUCCAUAAAUGCACUUUUUUACUGAAAAAAAAAAACCUACAGAUCAACUUGCUCCAAUCGAUAUGAGGCCUGGAACCAGAGAGAACAGAUGGCUGUUUUUGAUAAACUGAAUGUAGGGACCGGAACCAUUGAGCGAGAGUGUCGACGCACAGAGUCCCACAGCUGAAGUGCUGGCAGACGUCAGCAGCCUCCAGAGAGUGUGUCGUUCCUGCGCUUGCUCCUUCCUGAGAGCUUCAAAGUGAAGGAGUUGCUGCUGUUGUUGUAUGUGUCGCAGGCUGCUCAUCGACUCACUCACACAUUCCAGUGCCUACUGACAGAAAAGUUGGUGUAUAAGUAGAGUGCUGUGUCCCAUACACAGGCACAACCAGCGUAAUUACCCACUGUUCACCCGGUCUCUUCACUCCCAAGAUGAUGCCUGACCAUGUCCCCUCUGCCACAAACAACUUUAAGCAUAAGCCCUGGAGUGACUGUGGGCCCAGUUAGGAGAAAUAAGCCCACCUACAACAGCAUAACUACUCUAGAUGGGAACUGCAAGACUUCAUUUUUAUAUACUUACUCUACUUGAGCAUUUCACAUUUCAACAGUCUGCAGAAAGAGAAAUAUAGUUCCUUUGUUUUGGCAAGACUUUCUAAAUAAAGCAGAAGCUAUCUCUGA